CCUACGGGUGAUAGCAGUGGGGAAUAUUGCACAAUGGGGGAAACUCUGAUGCAGCAACGCCGCGUGAAGGAAGACUGUUCUAGGAUUGUAAACUUCUGUUCUUAGUGAAGAAUAAUAACGGUAGCUAAGGAGCAAGCCACGGCUAACUACGUGCCAGCAGCCGCGGUAAUUCGUAGGUGGCAAGCGUUGUCCGGAAUUACUGGGUGUAACGGGAGCGCAGGCGGGAAGUCAAGUCAGUUGUGAAAACUACGGGCUUAACUUGUAGACUGCAGUUGAAACUGGUAUUCUUGAGUGAAGUAGAGGUUGGCGGAAUUCGGAGUGUAGCGGUGAAAUGCGUAGAUAUUAGGAGGAACACCGGUGGCGAAGGCGGCCAACUGGGCUGUAACUGACGCUGAUGCUCGAAAGUGUGGGGAGCAAACAGGAUUAGAUACCCUUGUAGUC
RNAcentral lists this ribosomal RNA (441 nucleotides) under uncultured bacterium. Its description in RNAcentral is "partial 16S ribosomal RNA". It matches the Rfam family "Bacterial small subunit ribosomal RNA", at positions 338 to 795 of the family's 1533-position model. The record is from RNAcentral.